AGUGAACGCUGGCGGUAGGCCUAACACAUGCAAGUCGAACGGCAGCACAGUAAGAGCUUGCUCUUACGGGUGGCGAGUGGCGGACGAGUGAGGAAUACAUCGGAAUCUACUUUUUCGUGGGGGAUAGCGUAGGGAAACUUACGCUAAUACCGCAUACGACCUACGGGUGAAAGCAGGGGAUCUUCGGACCUUGCGCGAUUGAAUGAGCCGAUGUCGGAUUAGCUAGUUUGCGGGGUAAAGGCCCACCAAGGCGACGAUCCGUAGCUGGUCUGAGAGGAUGAUCAGCCACACUGGAACUGAGACACGGUCCAGACUCCUACGGGAGGCAGCAGUGGGGAAUAUUGGACAAUGGGCGCAAGCCUGAUCCAGCCAUACCGCGUGGGUGAAGAAGGCCUUCGGGUUGUAAAGCCCUUUUGUUGGGAAAGAAAAGCAGCAGGUUAAUACCCCGCUGUUCUGACGGUACCCAAAGAAUAAGCACCGGCUAACUUCGUG
RNAcentral lists this ribosomal RNA (492 nucleotides) under uncultured bacterium. Its description in RNAcentral is "partial 16S ribosomal RNA". It matches the Rfam family "Bacterial small subunit ribosomal RNA", at positions 29 to 507 of the family's 1533-position model. The record is from RNAcentral.